Molecule: ribosomal RNA, 1008 nt
Filed under: Microascus cirrosus
Lineage: Eukaryota; Fungi; Ascomycota; Sordariomycetes; Microascales; Microascaceae
Description: SSU rRNA
Rfam family: Eukaryotic small subunit ribosomal RNA
Source: RNAcentral
AACUGCGAAUGGCUCAUUAUAUAAGUUAUCGUUUAUUUGAUAGCACAUUACUACUUGGAUAACCGUGGUAAUUCUAGAGCUAAUACAUGCUAAAAACCCCGACUCCGGAAGGGGUGUAUUUAUUAGAUUAAAAGCCAACGCCCUUCGGGGCUCUGUGGUGAUUCAUGAUAACUUUUCGAAUCGCAUGGCCUUGCGCCGGCGAUGGUUCAUUCAAAUUUCUUCCCUAUCAACUUUCGAUGCGAGGGUCUUGUCCUCGCAUGGUUGCAACGGGUAACGGAGGGUUAGGGCUCGACCCCGGAGAAGGAGCCUGAGAAACGGCUACUACAUCCAAGGAAGGCAGCAGGCGCGCAAAUUACCCAAUCCCGACACGGGGAGGUAGUGACAAUAAAUACUGAUACAGGGCUCUUUAGGGUCUUGUAAUCGGAAUGAGUACAAUUUAAAUCCCUUAACGAGGAACAAUUGGAGGGCAAGUCUGGUGCCAGCAGCCGCGGUAAUUCCAGCUCCAAUAGCGUAUAUUAAAGUUGUUGUGGUUAAAAAGCUCGUAGUCGAACCUUGGGCCUGGCCGGCCGGUCCCCCUCACCGGGUGCACUGAUCCGGCCGGGCCUUUCCCUCUGUGGAACCCCAUGGCCUUCACUGGCUGUGCGGGGGAAACAGGACUUUUACUGUGAAAAAAUUAGAGUGCUCCAGGCAGGCCUAUGCUCGAAUACAUUAGCAUGGAAUAAUAGAAUAGGACGCGUGGUUCUAUUUUGUUGGUUUCUAGGACCGCCGUAAUGAUUAAUAGGGACAGUCGGGGGCAUCAGUAUUCAAUUGUCAGAGGUGAAAUUCUUGGAUCUAUUGAAGACUAACUACUGCGAAAGCAUUUGCCAAGGAUGUUUUCAUUGAUAAGGAACGAAAGUUAGGGGAUCGAAGACGAUCAGAUACCGUCGUAGUCUUAACUAUAAACUAUGCCGACUAGGGAUCGGACGAUGUUAUUUCUUGACGCGUUCGGCACCUUUCGAGAAAUCAAAG